RNAcentral lists this ribosomal RNA (412 nucleotides) under Fusarium falciforme. Its description in RNAcentral is "partial large subunit ribosomal RNA". It matches the Rfam family "Eukaryotic large subunit ribosomal RNA", at positions 163 to 583 of the family's 3401-position model. The record is from RNAcentral. Lineage: Eukaryota; Fungi; Ascomycota; Sordariomycetes; Hypocreales; Nectriaceae.
UUUUGGUGAGGUGCCUUCCGAGUUCCCUGGAACGGGACGCCAUAGAGGGUGAGAGCCCCGUCUGGUUGGACACCGAUCCUCUGUAAAGCUCCUUCGACGAGUCGAGUAGUUUGGGAAUGCUGCUCUAAAUGGGAGGUAUAUGUCUUCUAAAGCUAAAUACCGGCCAGAGACCGAUAGCGCACAAGUAGAGUGAUCGAAAGAUGAAAAGAACUUUGAAAAGAGAGUUAAAAAGUACGUGAAAUUGUUGAAAGGGAAGCGCUUGUGACCAGACUUGGGCUUGGUUGAUCAUCCGGGGUUCUCCCCGGUGCACUCUUCCGGCUCAGGCCAGCAUCAGUUCGCCCUGGGGGAUAAAGGCUUCGGGAAUGUGGCUCUCUCCGGGGAGUGUUAUAGCCCGCUGCGUAAUACCCUGUGG